This 1484-nucleotide long non-coding RNA is filed under the name Mus caroli (Ryukyu mouse). Its description in RNAcentral is "lncRNA (MGP_CAROLIEiJ_G0013491.1)". The record is from RNAcentral. Lineage: Eukaryota; Metazoa; Chordata; Mammalia; Rodentia; Muridae.
GCGCCCGCCCCGCAGCCCGCGCCCGCCCGCCGCAAGUUUGUUCCCCGCCGCUGCGGCCUGCGCGGAGAGAGGAUCGCGCGCGGGGAGGCGCCGAGGGGCAGCAAGAGUGGAGAAAGUGCGGAAAGAAGCAACAGCCGCUCCACCCGCGGGCGGAAAAGUGGCCGGGCGCGGCGGCGGGAUGCGGCGCAGCUAACGGUCCCGGGCGGCCGCCGGAGCCGCUAGGCGCAGAGGCAGGCUAGCACCUGCGCAGUGAGAGAGAGUUCUUGUCACUGGUGACUCAUCGUGCAGUGAGCACAAGGAAGAGCAACGGGAUAGUGUCUCACAAGUGUAGGGCUGGAGCUACAGGAACCAUCCAGGUGCACUGGCUUUGCCUCUGCAUCUUUCUGUGCCACUGUCUCAUUCUGUUUCCGGCUGUGCAUGGAUGUGGAUGGCCCAGAAAGCAUGGAAGGGGAAUAAACUGGACUGAUCUUCCUGUCCACCCUCCACGACUAACAAGGACUCUGGUGAUCUCGUUCCAGGUGGUGUGAACUUCUCCUGGGACCAUCUGUCCCUCCCAGCAGCUCCAGAGCCACACUGCCUUGGAAGACCCUACAGACAGACUGCUCCACUUUGGCUCUUCUUUCCACAGUGUCUUCAGCAUCUCUGUCUCUCCCAUUCCCACUCCACUUCUUCUAUCUCUCCCCAUGCAAGAGUGGAUCAGCUGCCUCCUGGGCCAGUAGGGUCCUUUGCAGGCGGCCAACCAAGAGAAAGAGGAAGUGGCUCUUGGAAUCACAGACCCAGGCUGGGAAGAGUUUGUGUGAUGCAGUGGCCAUCCCCUAGAGAGCUGCAGUGAUCCUCUCUGAGCCCUUCAGAAAGCGCUACGACCACGAAAAGUUCUCAGGGGGCAGCAGCCAUUUCCCAUAGACGGGCUGUGCCAUGUCCACAUUCACCGUAGGGCAAUUAUGGUGGAGAAGAAAAAGAAACUGGACCGGAUGAACUGUUAAUAAACCUCUUCUUUGACAAGCCACCUCUGUGGUGGCUAAGAUUUCUGCAGCUUCUGGUGGUGAAGAUCACAUAUCUAUAUAGACCUGCUUCACCUUAAAAUGUGGCGCACUAUGAAUGUGUCUGUUUUACUACUGUUGGCACAGAGUGCUGGUUUUCUCUGGCAUGUAAAUCAGAAUUUGUGACUCUGGGAACCUUCUUUCCCUGCCAUGCCAGGCUAUGCAGCUGAAGGGUGCAAAGGAGAGGCCUUUGAUCAGGGUUUCUGGGACCAGUCUCCUGGCUUUCUUCCUGUCUGUCAGCCCCAGAUGCUAUCCUAAACAACAGCUCUACCUUGUGUCUAGCUAGAGAAAGAUUUUCUUUGGGUAUCAUCUUUAGGUAUCAUCCUAAAAUAAAAUCUUUGUCUAAGGUAAUUGUGCAAGGGUUUUCCAGGAAGCAAUAGUUAAGGAAUGAUUGAGAGAAAUGUUUUAGUUAAUUGAAUAUUCUGGCAAAUAAAUGUGACAUUA